CUCCCUGACUCCUUGAGAGUCCUGAUGGACGUUGAAGACGACGACGUUGAUAGGUCGGGUGUGUAAGCGCAGCGAUGCGUUGAGCUAACCGGUACUAAUGAACCGUGAGGCUUAACCUUACAACGCCGAAGGUGUUUUG
This 139-nucleotide ribosomal RNA is filed under the name Shigella dysenteriae CDC 74-1112. RNAcentral's name for it is "partial large subunit ribosomal RNA". The stretch from base 1 to 119 matches the Rfam family "Bacterial large subunit ribosomal RNA", at positions 2811 to 2925 of the family's 2925-position model. The record is from RNAcentral. Lineage: Bacteria; Pseudomonadati; Pseudomonadota; Gammaproteobacteria; Enterobacterales; Enterobacteriaceae.